GUGUGUUUCGACACACUAUCAUUAACUGAAUCCAUAGGUUAAUGAGGCGAACCGGGGGAACUGAAACAUCUAAGUACCCCGAGGAAAAGAAAUCAACCGAGAUUCCCCCAGUAGCGGCGAGCGAACGGGGAGCAGCCCAGAGCCUGAAUCAGUGUGUGUGUUAGUGGAAGCGUCUGGAAAGGCGCGCGAUACAGGGUGACAGCCCCGUACACAAAAAUGCACAUGCUGUGAGCUCGAUGAGUAGGGCGGGACACGUGGUAUCCUGUCUGAAUAUGGGGGGACCAUCCUCCAAGGCUAAAUACUCCUGACUGACCGAUAGUGAACCAGUACCGUGAGGGAAAGGCGAAAAGAACCCCGGCGAGGGGAGUGAAAAAGAACCUGAAACCGUGUACGUACAAGCAGUGGGAGCACGCUUAGGCGUGUGACUGCGUACCUUUUGUAUAAUGGGUCAGCGACUUAUAUUCUGUAGCAAGGUUAACCGAAUAGGGGAGCCGAAGGGAAACCGAGUCUUAACUGGGCGUUAAGUUGCAGGGUAUAGACCCGAAACCCGGUGAUCUAGCCAUGGGCAGGUUGAAGGUUGGGUAACACUAACUGGAGGACCGAACCGACUAAUGUUGAAAAAUUAGCGGAUGACUUGUGGCUGGGGGUGAAAGGCCAAUCAAACCGGGAGAUAGCUGGUUCUCCCCGAAAGCUAUUUAGGUAGCGCCUCGUGAAUUCAUCUCCGGGGGUAGAGCACUGUUUCGGCAAGGGGGUCAUCCCGACUUACCAACCCGAUGCAAACUGCGAAUACCGGAGAAUGUUAUCACGGGAGACACACGGCGGGUGCUAACGUCCGUCGUGAAGAGGGAAACAACCCAGACCGCCAGCUAAGGUCCCAAAGUCAUGGUUAAGUGGGAAACGAUGUGGGAAGGCCCAGACAGCCAGGAUGUUGGCUUAGAAGCAGCCAUCAUUUAAAGAAAGCGUAAUAGCUCACUGGUCGAGUCGGCCUGCGCGGAAGAUGUAACGGGGCUAAACCAUG
This 1018-nucleotide ribosomal RNA is filed under the name Escherichia coli. RNAcentral's name for it is "partial 23S ribosomal RNA". It matches the Rfam family "Bacterial large subunit ribosomal RNA", at positions 133 to 1191 of the family's 2925-position model. Lineage: Bacteria; Pseudomonadati; Pseudomonadota; Gammaproteobacteria; Enterobacterales; Enterobacteriaceae. The record is from RNAcentral.